GAGUUUGAUCAUGGCUCAGAUUGAACGCUGGCGGCAGGCCUAACACAUGCAAGUCGAACGGUAACAGGAAGCAGCUUGCUGCUUCGCUGACGAGUGGCGGACGGGUGAGUAAUGUCUGGGAAACUGCCUGAUGGAGGGGGAUAACUACUGGAAACGGUAGCUAAUACCGCAUAAUGUCGCAAGACCAAAGAGGGGGACCUUCGGGCCUCUUGCCAUCGGAUGUGCCCAGAUGGGAUUAGCUAGUAGGUGGGGUAACGGCUCACCUAGGCGACGAUCCCUAGCUGGUCUGAGAGGAUGACCAGCCACACUGGAACUGAGACACGGUCCAGACUCCUACGGGAGGCAGCAGA
Molecule: ribosomal RNA, 350 nt
Filed under: uncultured bacterium
Lineage: Bacteria
Description: bacterial SSU rRNA
Rfam family: Bacterial small subunit ribosomal RNA
Source: RNAcentral